GGAUCCCAUCAGAACACCACAGUUAAGCGUGCUUGGGCGAGAGUAUUACUAGGAUGGGUGACCUCCUGGGAAGUCCUC
This 78-nucleotide ribosomal RNA is filed under the name Beta vulgaris subsp. maritima. Lineage: Eukaryota; Viridiplantae; Streptophyta; Magnoliopsida; Caryophyllales; Amaranthaceae. The record is from RNAcentral.